This 432-nucleotide ribosomal RNA is filed under the name uncultured bacterium. RNAcentral's name for it is "partial 16S ribosomal RNA". It matches the Rfam family "Bacterial small subunit ribosomal RNA", at positions 29 to 506 of the family's 1533-position model. The record is from RNAcentral.
AACGAACGCUGGCGGCAUGCCUAACACAUGCAAGUCGAACGAGACCUUCGGGCCUAGUGGCGCACGGGUGCGUAACGCGUGGGAACCUGCCCUUAGGUUCGGAAUAACUCCCCGAAAGGGGUGCUAAUACCGGAUAAUUUCUUCGGACCAAAGAUUUAUCGCCUUUGGAUGGGCCCGCGUUGGAUUAGCUAGUUGGUAGGGUAAAAGCCUACCAAGGCGACGAUCCAUAGCUGGUCUGAGAGGAUGAUCAGCCACACUGGGACUGAGACACGGCCCAGACUCCUACGGGAGGCAGCAGUGGGGAAUAUUGGACAAUGGGCGAAAGCCUGAGCCAGCAAUGCCGCGUGAGUGAUGAAGGCCUUAGGGUUGUAAAGCUCUUUUACCCGGGAUGAUAAUGACAGUACCGGGAGAAUAAGCGCCGGCUAACUCCGU